UACGGAGGGUGCAAACGUUGCUCGGAAUCAUUGGGCGUAAAGCGCACGUAGGCGGUCCAGCAAGCGGGGAGUGAAAGCCCUCGGCUUAACCCAGGAAGUGCUUUCCGAACUACUGGACUUGAAUACUGAAGAGGAUCGCGGAAUUCCCGGUGUAGAGGUGAAAUUCGUAGAUAUCGGGAGGAACACCAGUGGCGAAGGCGGCGAUCUGGGCAGAUAUUGACGCUGAGGUGCGAAAGCGUGGGGAGCAAACAGG
RNAcentral lists this ribosomal RNA (253 nucleotides) under uncultured bacterium. RNAcentral's name for it is "partial 16S ribosomal RNA". It matches the Rfam family "Bacterial small subunit ribosomal RNA", at positions 524 to 776 of the family's 1533-position model. The record is from RNAcentral.